Molecule: ribosomal RNA, 253 nt
Filed under: uncultured bacterium
Lineage: Bacteria
Description: partial 16S ribosomal RNA
Rfam family: Bacterial small subunit ribosomal RNA
Source: RNAcentral
UACAGAGGUCUCAAGCGUUGUUCGGAUUCAUUGGGCGUAAAGGGUGCGUAGGUGGCGUGGUAAGUCGGGUGUGAAAUUUCGGAGCUUAACUCCGAAACUGCAUUCGAUACUGCCGUGCUUGAGGACUGGAGAGGAGACUGGAAUUCAUGGUGUAGCAGUGAAAUGCGUAGAGAUCAUGAGGAAGACCAGUGGCGAAGGCGGGUCUCUGGACAGUUCCUGACACUGAGGCACGAAGGCCAGGGGAGCAAACGGG